Molecule: long non-coding RNA, 242 nt
Filed under: Coffea arabica (coffee)
Lineage: Eukaryota; Viridiplantae; Streptophyta; Magnoliopsida; Gentianales; Rubiaceae
Description: long non-coding RNA (CARA_LNC007685)
Source: RNAcentral
AUUUAUCGAAUGAAUCGGCAAAAUGGAUUGGUUGAAUCGUCCGGCCAUUGGUUAUUUCAAAAUUAUUGAAGUGCAUUAGUCUAUGACCUUCUAAAAAUCAAAUUUUGGCCUCAAUUUAUUUAUCGUCUCAAUAGGAGGAAUCAUUUGUGAAUUUCUUCAAAUUAAUGUCCUUUACGCAAGGGAUUUUUACCAAUUUUUGAUAAAAUGGCCAAAAAGUGAUUAUUAGACGCUCAUAUUCCAAA